This is a long non-coding RNA of Pseudoliparis swirei, 1672 nucleotides long. RefSeq lists it as uncharacterized. The record is from RefSeq and is a predicted model, not a curated record. NCBI's taxonomy places the organism in Eukaryota, Metazoa, Chordata, Actinopteri, Perciformes, Liparidae. The transcript is spliced from 2 exons.
AGAUAUAAAUGUAUGUUAUGUUAUUGCUUACCGUAUCUUAAACUCAACAAUCAGAGGAGCUUCCCGAACUCCGCGUUCCCACCCGAAGGUUGUGUUAUGUGUUUGGGGAGUCUGAUAAGGAAGUGAUAAGAAACCAGACGGAAGGAAUAUGUCAACUUGUCCUCAGUUCCACUUCUCCAUUGUUGUUGUGUGUGUGUGUGUAAAGCUUUCAAUAAAAGGCUGGACCAAAGGGUGGCUCGGCGGAAUGUCUUGGAGGUCGUCGUGCUCGUAGCACGUGCGUCUGAGCUUCCCCUUUGGCCAAAGCUUACAAAGAUACUACGUUGUCUGUGAUUCAUUUCUCACCUCCUUGACCGUGAAUAUUUUACAUGAUAUAGAGAGGAAAAAACCUAUCAUAACUUGGUGCCGUGACCCGGAUCCCAACAUACCCAUCGGCUGGAUUUUUCUUUUUCCUGCGGAGCCACUGACACCUGUGCAAGGCCCCGACUGAUCAUCGGAUUAAGAGACCGCUCAGCAGUGGAUAAUAAUUUCUGCAGAGAGGAGAUCCAGUCGUGGAUUGACGGGAUCCGGCGGAUCGGAAGACCGAGGGAGACUGACCCAGACAAAGUCGGCGACUGGGUCUUCAUCCGCGUCAUCAAGAAAAAGACGUGGAGCGACGCUCGCUGGGAGGGACCAUUCCAAGUCCUUCUGACGACUGCAACCGCUGUAAAGAUAGCCGAGAGGACCACCUGGAUACAUCUCUCCCAUUGCAAACUGUUCCCUACAGAAAUCCCGGACCAGUGCCCUGAUCCCGAGACGACCACGAGCAGAGGGGAAGACUGACUUCAAAGGGGGCUGUCCGCUUAAAAGACAGCCAUCUCAACGUCAGUGAAGAAACCAACAAUCCCUGCUCUUAGGUGUCGCCUCGGGUGAUGGAGCGAGAGGUCCCGAGGAACUCAAACGAGAGGAGCAAUCAGUACUCUAGCAUCGGUGUCUGGGCUCACCUCACGGAUGGAGCCCAUUGAAACGACCGCGUACAUUCAUAUGUAUGAUGACAUGGGAAGACCUGUCAAUGCUCCCGUUUAAGAAAAUAUAACGUAAACUUUUGGUUUAAGCUUGUAUGACAUAAUUGUGUAAAACUCCUCACAAGGAACGGACAAUUAUUGAUGUGAAGCUGCUGACUAAACAGUUUAAUUCCCAAAGAGAUUGGUGUGGUGUUACUAACAAAUUAUGUGUAACAAGAAUAAUCAUGAUUCUGCUUGGACUGCUUAACCCAAAUACGUAAAUCACAUGCUGCUUAGAAAUUAGACAAAUCAAAUGAGUGCCCUUAUUGACCAUGUUUAAAUAAUAAGCAAUAGCAUAAACAGGAGGGAACUGACAGAGAUAUAAAUGUAUGUUAUGUUAUUGCUUACCGUAUCUUAAACUCAACAAUCAGAGGAGCUUCCCGAACUCCGCGUUCCCACCCGAAGGUUGUGUUAUGUGUUUGGGGAGUCUGAUAAGGAAGUGAUAAGAAACCAGACAGAAGGAAUAUGUCAACUUGUCCUCAGUUCCACUUCUCCAUUGUUGUUGUGUGUGUGUGUGUAAAGCUUUCAAUAAAAGGCUGGACCAAAGGGUGGCUCGGCGGAAUGUCUUGGAGGUCGUCGUGCUCGUAGCACGUGCGUCUGAGCUUCCCCUUUGGCCAAAGCUUACAAAGAUA